CGCGAAUGGCUCAUUACAACAGCUAUAAUUUACUUGAAUUUGACAACCCUACUUGGAUACCGGUGGUAAUUCUAGCGCUAAUACAUGCACCAAAGCUCCGACCGCGAGGGAAGAGCGCAUUUAUUAGAACAAAACCACACGGCUUCGGCCGUCCAAUGUUGACUCAGAAUAACUAAGCUGAUCGCAUGGUCUUGCACCGGCGACGUUUCUUUCAAGUAUCUGCCUUAUCAACUUUCGAUGGUAGUGUAUCUGACUACCAUGGUGAUGACGGGUAACGGAGGAUAAGGGUUCGACUCCGGAGAAGGGGCCUGAGAAAUGGCCGCUACGUCUAAGGAUGGCAGCAGGCGCGCAAAUUACCCACUCUCAGUACGAGGAGGUAGUGACGAGAAAUAACAAGACCGUUCUCUUUCGAGGCCGGUCAUCGGAAUGGGUACAAUUUAAACCCUUUAACGAGUAUCUAUGAGAGGGCAAGUCUGGUGCCAGCAGCCGCGGUAAUUCCAGCU
This 503-nucleotide ribosomal RNA is filed under the name Bitylenchus hispaniensis. RNAcentral's name for it is "SSU rRNA". It matches the Rfam family "Eukaryotic small subunit ribosomal RNA", at positions 88 to 590 of the family's 1831-position model. The record is from RNAcentral. Lineage: Eukaryota; Metazoa; Nematoda; Chromadorea; Rhabditida; Telotylenchidae.